This 302-nucleotide ribosomal RNA is filed under the name Enterococcus hirae. RNAcentral describes it as "bacterial SSU rRNA". It matches the Rfam family "Bacterial small subunit ribosomal RNA", at positions 60 to 319 of the family's 1533-position model. Lineage: Bacteria; Bacillati; Bacillota; Bacilli; Lactobacillales; Enterococcaceae. The record is from RNAcentral.
AAGCAAUGCGGGUACUAUAAUGCAGUCGAACGCUUCUUUUUCACCGGAGCUUGCUCCACCGGAAAAAGAGGAGUGGCGAACGGGUGAGUAACACGUGGGUAACCUGCCCAUCAGAAGGGGAUAACACUUGGAAACAGGUGCUAAUACCGUAUAACAAUCGAAACCGCAUGGUUUUGAUUUGAAAGGCGCUUUCCGGUGUCGCUGAUGGAUGGACCCGCGGUGCAUUAGCUAGUUGGUGAGGGAACGGCUCACCAAGGGGACGAUGCAUACUCGACCUGAUAGGGUGAUCGGUCCAAUGGGAC